GUUAGGGUCAGUAAAAUAACGGCGUACCUUCUCUGAGGGGAAGUGCAUAUGGACUUCUCCGGUUCCAAUGUAGAUAAUUGCUUUAACGGUGCUGAGGAAUGGUCUUCCAAGGAUGAUGGGUGGAUCAUACUCGUCUUCUCCCAUGUCAAUAACUUGAAAGUCUGUGUAGACAAAGUGAUCGUCUAUUUUGACUGGGACAUCAGAUACUAUUCCUUUGACUUCUCGAAAUGUCUGAUCUGCCAUCUGGAGUUGAAUGUAUGUUGGUCUUAGGGGCAUGGUCCCGAACAAGAGCCGAUAGGUGACUGCGGCCAUUAUGUUGACGCCC
This 325-nucleotide long non-coding RNA is filed under the name Sorghum bicolor (sorghum). Its description in RNAcentral is "long non-coding RNA (SBIC_LNC005132)". Lineage: Eukaryota; Viridiplantae; Streptophyta; Magnoliopsida; Poales; Poaceae. The record is from RNAcentral.